RNAcentral lists this ribosomal RNA (404 nucleotides) under uncultured Thermomicrobia bacterium. RNAcentral's name for it is "bacterial SSU rRNA". It matches the Rfam family "Bacterial small subunit ribosomal RNA", at positions 353 to 772 of the family's 1533-position model. The record is from RNAcentral. Lineage: Bacteria; Pseudomonadati; Thermomicrobiota; Thermomicrobia.
AGCAAGGAAUUUUCCGCAAUGGGCGCAAGCCUGACGGAGCAACGCCGCGUGUGGGAUGACGCUUUUCGGAGUGUAAACCACUGUUCGUGGGGACGAAGCACUGACGGUACCCACGGAGGAAGGCCCGGCUAACUACGUGCCAGCAGCCGCGGUAAUACGUAGGGGUCGAGCGUUGUCCGGAGUUACUGGGCGUAAAGCGCAUGCAGGCGGCUUAUUACGCAUGGCGUGAAAGCCCCCGGCUCAACCGGGGAGGGUCGUCGUGAACGGGUGAGCUUGAGGGUAUCAGGGGCUGGUGGAAUUCCCGGUGUAGUGGUGAAAUGCGUAGAGAUCGGGAGGAACACCUGUGGCGAAGGCGGCCAGCUGGGAUACACCUGACGCUGAGAUGCGAAGGCGUGGGGAGCGAA